UUUUUCUUUAUAUAGGGAGACAAAAAAUCCAAUUAGGUUAAAUAUUUUUGACUCAGACGACUUCCUGGAUGACUUACAUUUCAGUCGUCUGGUGAAGAAAUUAAAACAGACGACUUACAUGUAAGUCGUCUAGAAGAGUAAUAUUUUUAGCGGGAAAUUAAAUAUUUUUAGAGGGAAACUAAAAUAGAAGACUUUCCUGACGACUUGACGACUUACAAGUA
Molecule: long non-coding RNA, 221 nt
Filed under: Brassica rapa (field mustard)
Lineage: Eukaryota; Viridiplantae; Streptophyta; Magnoliopsida; Brassicales; Brassicaceae
Description: long non-coding RNA (BRAP_LNC002480)
Source: RNAcentral